This 177-nucleotide ribosomal RNA is filed under the name uncultured bacterium. RNAcentral's name for it is "partial 16S rRNA". It matches the Rfam family "Bacterial small subunit ribosomal RNA", at positions 346 to 520 of the family's 1533-position model. The record is from RNAcentral.
AGGCAGCAGUGAGGAAUAUUGGUCAAUGGGCGAGAGCCUGAACCAGCCAAAUCGCGUGAAGGAAGACUGCCUUAUGGGUUGUAAACUUCUUUUGUACAGGAAUAAAAAGGGGGACGCGUCCUCCAUUGCAUGUACUGUACGAAUAAGCAUCGGCUAACUCCGUGCCAGCAGCCGCGG